This 506-nucleotide ribosomal RNA is filed under the name uncultured bacterium. RNAcentral describes it as "bacterial SSU rRNA". It matches the Rfam family "Bacterial small subunit ribosomal RNA", at positions 8 to 508 of the family's 1533-position model. The record is from RNAcentral.
AGAGUUUGAUCCUGGCUCAGAUUGAACGCUGGCGGCAUGCCUUACACAUGCAAGUCGAACGGCAGCACGGAGCUUGCUCUGGUGGCGAGUGGCGAACGGGUGAGUAAUAUAUCGGAACGUACCCUAGAGUGGGGGAUAACGUAGCGAAAGUUACGCUAAUACCGCAUACGAUCUACGGAUGAAAGUGGGGGAUCGCAAGACCUCAUGCCCAUGGAGCGGCCGAUAUCUGAUUAGCUAGUUGGUAGGGUAAAAGCCUACCAAGGCAUCGAUCAGUAGCUGGUCUGAGAGGACGACCAGCCACACUGGAACUGAGACACGGUCCAGACUCCUACGGGAGGCAGCAGUGGGGAAUUUUGGACAAUGGGCGAAAGCCUGAUCCAGCAAUGCCGCGUGAGUGAAGAAGGCCUUCGGGUUGUAAAGCUCUUUUGUCAGGGAAAGAAACGGUUGUCUCUAAUACAGAUGGCUAAUGACGGUACCUGAAGAAUAAGCACCGGCUAACUACGUGC